AUUGAACGCUGGCGGCAUGCUUUACACAUGCAAGUCGGACGGCAGCACAGAGAAGCUUGCUUCUUGGGUGGCGAGUGGCGAACGGGUGAGUAACAUAUCGGAACGUACCGAGUAGUGGGGGAUAACUGAUCGAAAGAUCAGCUAAUACCGCAUACGUCUUGAGAGGGAAAGCAGGGGACCUUCGGGCCUUGCGCUAUUCGAGCGGCCGAUAUCUGAUUAGCUAGUUGGUGGGGUAAAGGCCUACCAAGGCGACGAUCAGUAGCGGGUCUGAGAGGAUGAUCCGCCACACUGGGACUGAGACACGGCCCAGACUCCUACGGGAGGCAGCAGUGGGGAAUUUUGGACAAUGGGCGCAAGCCUGAUCCAGCCAUGCCGCGUGUCUGAAGAAGGCCUUCGGGUUGUAAAGGACUUUUGUCAGGGAAGAAAAGGCUGUUGCUAAUAUCAUCAGCUGAUGA
Molecule: ribosomal RNA, 455 nt
Filed under: Neisseria meningitidis
Lineage: Bacteria; Pseudomonadati; Pseudomonadota; Betaproteobacteria; Neisseriales; Neisseriaceae
Description: bacterial SSU rRNA
Rfam family: Bacterial small subunit ribosomal RNA
Source: RNAcentral